RNAcentral lists this unclassified non-coding RNA (3856 nucleotides) under Hevea brasiliensis (rubber tree). The record is from RNAcentral. Lineage: Eukaryota; Viridiplantae; Streptophyta; Magnoliopsida; Malpighiales; Euphorbiaceae.
CGAUACGUGUUUUUCGCAUUGACAGGAGCAUGCACUGGCAUAGCCAUCCUCAUCGAUUCGUGACAAACCCUACAAUGAUGCACAAAAACCGCAACCUAAAGAGAAGAGCUUGAUCGGGUAUAUGAAAGGGGUAAACUGGAACCAAAGUUAUUCUCCUGGUUUCCUGUUUGAUUCCCAGAACAGCUGCUAUAACAAUUGUCAGAUACUGUGAAACUCGCAAUUCACCGUCAAGAGCUCUUUUUAUGUUAACCUGAUCUUGGAUGAUCUUUUUUGCUAAGGUUGGCUUUUGAUCAAAGCCAUCGCACAAAAUGAGGAAGCUGCCGACGAGGUAAUAGCUUUCCUCCGUACCAAAAGGGUAGGGGAUGGUAAGGUUGCCACGAAUGUUUUGGCAGCUGUACUUGGGUGCAGGUGGUGAAGUCGCUGCUGCUGCUGACAAAAAUGAAGCCCAUUGUAGCAAUAGCUGCAAGAGCACCCUUCUCCACAAGACCAUGGUUUCCCAUGAUCUAUUCUGUUUUUAGGUUUGACAUUAUAUUUUCCAAUAGGGUUUUAGGGUUUAAGAAGAAAAACGAAGAAUCUGCAUAAUAUAUUCAGAUAUAAUCUGACAAAAUAUAUAUUGUUACAGGGCAAUCUGCAUGAUCGCCCUAAUAUAUAUCUAAUAUCGAUGAAAACAAAAAAAGUCGAAUUCAUCUGCAGUCUGAAUAUACAUGAUACAGUCUAGUGAAAUACAAUAUUAUAUUUUGAUUUUUUUUUUUCAAUUCUUCUACAAAAGACAUAUUUUGAUUUUCCAGUAUUCCUUUACAAAAGAAAAUCAUUACACAAGCAAGCAAGAAUCAUGAAUUAAUACAAUCAGAGAGACAAACUUAAAUUCACAUCAGGUUGAGGCUUGAAGACUACCUGGUACACUUGGAUUAACAUUGGUCAGAUGUUUUAAUCCUCUUUUGGCAUGAGUUCAAUCUGAGGACCCUCGUUCUACAAGAACUAGUGAAAAUGUAUCAUGCAUGGAAACCUUCUCAUUGUAUAUAGGAAGUAAGAUUGCGUUGAAUAAGACACUACAAGUCUAUAAGAGCAUCAUGGUAACAAGGGAGGCAGCAAACAGCACAAAAAAUACCAGAUCUUCACUAUAAAGGCCUGUGGAACAUGAAAUUCAAGUCAGGGAGAGGCAAGCAUAAAGUUGUGCAAAAAUGUAAAGGUUUCUAUUCCAAUUCCUUCAGGUUACUAGGCUAACUUGGAAACUUGAGGCAUUGCUCAAACGUAGACACGGUGCUCUCUAGGCAGAAGAUUUCAUAAUUCUUGCAAGUGCAGAUUGAUGAAGCAAGGAAAAAGUUUUUAGUUGAAAAUUUUUGUUUUAAAAGGAAGUUCCUAUGUGAGGGAUAGUAACCCUUCACACCCUGGAAGCUGGAACCAAGCAAUUUCAUAAAUAGCAUCUUUCAUAACCUGGAACUAAGUAAUUUCAGGAAUUUAUCCACAUCUUCCACCUCAUGUGCUGGUCAAAGAAAGCAGGCGGGCUAAGAUCCAGUGAAUUAACAAGGCUUGAAUGCCUAAUUAUUGCAUAUGAAUCAGAUUUGUUGAUAUGCAAAUACUACCAUCCCUAGUUCAGGAAACUUCACAACAAAAAUAGGAGCAGGCGUGGAGAAAAACCCAGCAGGUCUCAAGAGGUACUGAAAGCAAGGUUAACAAUCCUUAUGCCUAAUACAUAUUACGUAUAAUACUAUCUUUCUGUGCUGACCACAUUGUUAACCUAAGGCAAAAAAGCAUGAAUAUAAGCUAGUAGGCAUAGUUCUUACCACUUUGAGUAGAUGCAGCUGCCGGAAGUGCUGGAAUUUUCACAGUUUUAUUGCAUGAUGAUGCUGAUAAUUGAGACGAAGAGGGCCAUGGAGCAGGAAUAUUGUCAUUCAGAUCACAAAUAAAGCUGAUUCCAGAUGACUUAUCAAGUGUUGCAUCAGAAGGCAAGCUUGGUAGAAGGCAUCCAGACUCUUGCUUUGCAACUUGGAGUGAGAAAUCCUUGAGGCUUAUGUGACAAAGGCUAUAAACAUCUCUGGUAAUAUUUGACUUCUGUAACUUCAUUCCAAGAGUUCUAGCACAAUCCAACGCUUGCAAGUUGGUUAUGAGGCUCUGUUUCUGCAAGUGAGACACAUAGCUAUCCAUGGCACUACAGCAUCCUGUGGUGUUACUUAUCACAUUCCCGCAGCCCUUUGCAACAUGGCUCAUGUCAGGGAAAACCAGAGGGCAAACUGAGGCAGAAAGCAGAAGAGAAAAACUGAGAAAAGAGUAAGCAACCAAUGAGGCUCACCGAAGUGAUUUGUAUUUCUGGGUUAAGUUAAACCAGACAAGAACAAUAUGCAAACAUUAAGUGGUAUGGCUAGCCAAUGUGGAAAGAUGAUAUUCUCUUUAAAGAACUAAACAAACCACUAGCGCCCAUAUAUUAAGAACAUACAGAAAAUCCACCUACGCCAUCAAGUCUGCAUAUGCUUAGCAGUGAUGAGCCACAUAACUUCAUAAUUGGGAAUUUUCAAAUACACAAUUAGUUGCACACCUAAAGAGACAAAAGAAAGCAGAUUCCACAUGUUCAUGGAUGUUGUUUGAUGUUUCUGUACAGAGUAAUAGACACAUCUCUGCUUUUGGUGUUGAGAAAUUUCUUUAACAGAGCAGUCAACUAAUGUUCUGAAAACAGGCAGAAACUGAACAAAGACUAUUCAGGUGAUUUCUGACCAUAAUAGAUGAAGUUAGUUUUCUAUAUCCAUAUUUUCCAAGUCACCUUUAUUGACAUUGCAAUUAGAUAGUCCUCUGAGAACCUCCUUUGCAUGAGAAGGAUUAAGUUUACUUGCCAACCAUCGGAGAACAAUGUUUUUACAAUCAUUAACACUAGUUGAGUGCUGAGGUAAACCAUGGGUCCUAUCCAUGCUCAAGAUUUCAGAAGCUUUUAGCGCAAUUCGUGUAGCAGCUUCUGAUAUAGCAUUUUGACAUACUUGGUCACAACAUUCUUUCACAGGAUCAAUCUUCUCGCAUGCAGCAAGAAGCUUAGAUGAAUCCACAGUGCUCUCAAAUUCAUUCACAUCUUUAACUGGGCAAGACCCUUCAGUGAGAUUUGAGGGAUGAAUUGAGCAUAUUCUCUUAACAUUAGCUGCAGCGCCCUGACCUAUCAAAAUUUGCUCAAUGUCCGAAAGGCAAUGCUUGGAAAUAGUGCCAUUUAAAGCAAGCACUUUAGUCUCUUUACUGGAUUGACCAAUAAGAAUUGCAAGGGUGGCUUCUAACUGUGGACAACAUAUAACAUUAGCCAGCAAUGGUGCAAAAAAGGCCCAGCAAUCAAUUGAUGUCAUGCUCAUCAAGCUUUCAGCAGCAGUGAAGUUCAACGUACAGAGUCCUGAUAAUUUUGGUAUAGAACUGUUGGUGAAAGGUUGCAAUGGAGAAGGUGCAAGAAUAGGAAGAAAAGGCUGAGGAGCUGCAUUUGGUGAGAUCUCUGGAAGAAAAGCAUCCAACCGUCUGUCCAUCAAUGUAGAUCCUCUAAUAUAUUGAUUUUCAUUCAGACUUAAUAGCAACAAAAACACCUGGAGAAGAACCAUACUGGGACUGAAAUUGAGAGAUAACCCUUCAUUCAUGCCUCCAGCUUUAUGACACCCUAACAAAGAGAACAGUUAAAAAGGAAACAGAAACAAGAAGGUACCGAAAUAAUAGAAUAAAUGAAUAGGAAAAAACACAACUUUAAAGAAGAUUACGGCUUGGAAUUCAAAGUGUGGAAGUGGGUACAUGAGAAAACAGAGAAGAAAGAAACCAAACCAUGGAUCCAAUUGCAACCCUGUUUAAGAGUGUGGGGACUGAGAGGUGAGAGGAGUGCCAAGACCAGCUGUACUGGCUUGAG